CCUACGGGUGGCAGCAGUCGAGAAUCAUUCACAAUGGACGAAAGUCUGAUGGUGCAACGCCGCGUGGAGGAUGACGGCCCUAGGGUUGUAAACUCCUGUCAUCAGGGAGUAAGACUUAUUCGUUAAUAGCGUGUAAGUUUGAUAGUACCUGAAGAGGAAGGGACGGCUAACUUCGUGCCAGCAGCCGCGGUAAUACGAAGGUCCCAAGCGUUGUUCGGAAUAACUGGGCGUAAAGCGUGUGUAGGCCGCGCGGAAAGUCGGAUGUGAAAGCCCAAGGCUUAACCUUGGAACUGCAUUCGAUACUCCCGUGCUAGAGUAAUGGAGAGGUAAGUGGAAUUCUCGGUGUAGCAGUGAAAUGCGUAGAUAUCGAGAGGAACAUCAAUGGCGAAGGCAACUUACUGGACAUUUACUGACGCUCAGACACGAAGGCUAGGGGAGCGAAAGGGAUUAGAUACCCCUGUAGUCCUAGCAGUAAACGGUGCUCGCUUGGUGUGGGGAGGUUCGACCCUCUCUGUGCCGGAGCUAACGCGUUAAGCGAGCCGCCUGGGAAGUACGGUCGCAAGACUAAAACUCAAAGAAAUUGACGGGGACCCGCACAAGCGGUGGAGUAUGUGGCUUAAUUCGAUGCAACGCGAAGAACCUUACCUAGGCUUGACAUGCUUGUCGUAUUCUCCCGAAAAGGAGAAGUCGCUUCGGGCGGACAAUGCACAGGUGCUGCAUGGCCGUCGUCAGCUCGUGUCGUGAGAUGUUUGGUUAAGUCCAGCAACGAGCGCAACCCCUGUGAACUGUUGCCAGCGGAUAAUGCCGGGGACUCUGUUCAGACUGCCCAGAUCAACUGGGAGGAAGGUGGGGACGACGUCAGGUCAGUAUGGCCCUUACGCCUAGGGCUGCACACGUACUACAAUGCCCAGCACAAUGAGAACCAAUACCGCGAGGUGGAGGAAAUCUGUAAAACUGGGCCCAGUUCGGAUUGGAGGCUGCAACUCGCCUCCAUGAAGUUGGAAUCGCUAGUAAUGCCGUAUCAGCUACGACGGCGUGAAUACGUUCCCGGGUCUUGUACACACCGCCCGUCACAUCAUGGAAGUCGGUCGCACCCGAAGUAUAUGCGCUAACUUUCGAGAAGCAGUAUCCUAAGGUGAGGCUGGUAACUGGGAUGAAGUCGUAACAAGGUAGCCGUAGGGGAACCUGCGGCUGGAUCACCUCCUUU
Molecule: ribosomal RNA, 1207 nt
Filed under: bacterium
Lineage: Bacteria
Description: bacterial SSU rRNA
Rfam family: Bacterial small subunit ribosomal RNA
Source: RNAcentral